This 1414-nucleotide ribosomal RNA is filed under the name metagenome. RNAcentral's name for it is "bacterial LSU rRNA". It matches the Rfam family "Bacterial large subunit ribosomal RNA", at positions 1534 to 2925 of the family's 2925-position model. The record is from RNAcentral.
AAAAAAGGUAGGUGAGCUAUCCCCGAGAUGUGAUGAGGGUCUACGGCUUCGGCCACGGACGAACUCGUCAAUGCCAAGCUUCCGAGAAAAGCCGCGGGUGGAGCUGUUGUGGUAUCCGUACCGGAAACCGACACAGGUGGGUGGGUGGAGAACACCAAGGCGCUUGAGAGAACUCUGGUCAAGGAACUCUGCAUAUUGCCACCGUAACUUCGGGAUAAGGUGGGCCUGCUUUCGUGAAGCGUCUUGCACGUGGAGCGAAAACGGGUCGCAGCAAAGCGGGGGUAGCGACUGUUUACCAAAAACACAGGCUUCUGCUAAGUCGAAAGACGACGUAUAGGAGCUGACUCCUGCCCGGUGCCGGAAGGUUAAGGGGACUGCUCAGCGCAAGCGAAGGCAUGAACCGAAGCCCCGGUAAACGGCGGCCGUAACAAUAACGGUCCUAAGGUAGCGAAAUUCCUUGGCGGGUAAGUUCCGUCCUGCACGAAUGGAGUAACGACUUCCCCACUGUCUCGACCAGAGACUCAGCGAAAUUGAACUCGCGGUGAAGGUACCGCGUUCCCGCGGAGGGACGGAAAGACCCCAUGAACCUUCACUGCAACUUGGCCCUGACACUCGGGAUUUAUUGCGUAGGAUAGGUGGGAGGCUUUGAACUUGGGUUUCUGGAUCCGAGGGAGCCAACCUUGAAAUACCACCCUGUAAAUUCUGGGUGUCUAACCUAGACCCGUUAUCCGGGUCAGGAACACGGUCUGGUGGGCACUUUGACUGGGGCGGUCGCCUCCCAAAAAGUAACGGAGGCGCGCGAAGGUCCCCUCAGCCUGAUUGGAAACCAGGCGUAGAGUGCAAUGGCAUAAGGGGGCUUGACUGCGAGACCGACAGGUCGAGCAGGUACGAAAGUAGGUCAUAGUGAUCCGGUGGUUCUGCAUGGAAGGGCCAUCGUUCAACGGAUAAAAGGUACUCUGGGGAUAACAGGCUUAUCUCCCCCAAGAGUUCACAUCGACGGGGAGGUUUGGCACCUUGAUGUCGGCUCAUCGCAUCCUUGGGCUGAAGUCGGUCCCAAGGGUUCGGCUGUUCGCCGAUUAAAGCGGUACGCGAGCUGGGUUCAGAACGUCGUGAGACAGUUCGGUCCCUAUCCUCCGUGGGCGCAGGAGACUUGAAGAGGAGCUUUUCUUAGUACGAGAGGACCGGAAAGGACGCACCUCUGGUGAUCCAGUUGUUCUGCCUAGAGCAUUGCUGGGUAGCUAAGUGCGGACGGGAUAACCGCUGAAAGCAUCUAAGCGGGAAGCCUCCCUCAAGAUAAGGUCUCCCGGGAGAAAUCCCCUAAAGGGCAGUCAAAGACCAUGACGUUGAUAGGCUGGGUGUGUAAAGGCUGUAAGGCCAAAGCUAACCAGUACUAAUCGCCCGUGCGGCUUGAUCG